Molecule: ribosomal RNA, 563 nt
Filed under: uncultured bacterium
Lineage: Bacteria
Description: bacterial SSU rRNA
Rfam family: Bacterial small subunit ribosomal RNA
Source: RNAcentral
CCUACGGGAGGCAGCAGUGGGGAAUCUUGCACAAUGGGGGCAACCCUGAUGCAGCGACGCCGCGUGAGCGAUGAAGCCCUUCGGGGUGUAAAGCUCUUUCGUCAGGGAAGAUAAUGACGGUACCUGGAGAAGCAGCUGCGGCUAACUACGUGCCAGCAGCCGCGGUAAUACGAAGGGUGCAAGCGUUACUCGGAAUUACUGGGCGUAAAGCGUGCGUAGGCGGUUUGUUAAGUCUGUCGUGAAAGCCCCGGGCUCAACCUGGGAAUGGCGAUGGAAACUGGCGAGCUAGAGUACGGUAGAGGAGAGUGGAAUUCCCGGUGUAGCAGUGAAAUGCGUAGAGAUCGGGAGGAACAUCAGUUGCGAAGGCGGCUCUCUGGACCAGUACUGACGCUGAGGCACGAAAGCGUGGGGAGCAAACAGGAUUAGAUACCCUGGUAGUCCACGCCCUAAACGAUGCGAACUGGACGUUGGGAGCAAUUAGGCUCUCAGUGUCGAAGCUAACGCGUUAAGUUCGCCGCCUGGGGAGUACGGUCGCAAGACUGAAACUCAAAGGAAUUGACGGA